This 465-nucleotide ribosomal RNA is filed under the name uncultured bacterium. RNAcentral describes it as "partial 16S ribosomal RNA". It matches the Rfam family "Bacterial small subunit ribosomal RNA", at positions 28 to 507 of the family's 1533-position model. The record is from RNAcentral.
GACGAACGCUGGCGGCGUGCUUAACACAUGCAAGUCGAACGGAAAGGCCCUGCUUGCAGGGUACUCGAGUGGCGAACGGGUGAGUAACACGUGGGUGAUCUGCCCUGCACUUCGGGAUAAGCCUGGGAAACUGGGUCUAAUACCGGAUAGGAGCCAUUUUUAGUGUGAUGGUUGGAAAGUUUUUUCGGUGUAGGAUGAGCUCGCGGCCUAUCAGCUUGUUGGUGGGGUAAUGGCCUACCAAGGCGGCGACGGGUAGCCGGCCUGAGAGGGUGGACGGCCACAUUGGGACUGAGAUACGGCCCAGACUCCUACGGGAGGCAGAAGUGGGGAAUAUUGCACAAUGGGCGCAAGCCUGAUGCAGCGACGCCGCGGGGGGGAUGACGGCCUUCGGGUUGUAAACUCCUUUCGCUAGGGACGAAGCUUUUUGUGACGGUACCUAGAUAAGAAGCACCGGCUAACUACGUG